UUAAAAUAUAAAUAAAAAAAAUUAGAGUAGUAAUAGUUAUAUUCUUAAAACUUAAAAAAUUUGGCGGUAUUUUAAUCUAUACAGAGGAACUUGUUUUAUAAUUGAUAAUCCCCAUUGAAUCUUACUUAAUUUUGUUUAAUUUGUAUAUCGUUGUCAUAAGAAUAUCUUGAAAAAGAAAAAAUAUUCUAAUUUAAUUAUUAUUUUUUAUGUCAGAUCAAGGUGCAGUUUAUAGUUAAGUAAAAAUGAGUUACAAUUAAAAAUAUUAUUAAUAUUAUGAAUUAUAAAAUGAAAUUUUUUUAUAUGAAGGAGGAUUUGUUAGUAAAUUUUAAAAGAUAAUAAUAUUGAUUUUAGUUCUAAAAUAUGU
RNAcentral lists this ribosomal RNA (364 nucleotides) under Orfelia nemoralis. RNAcentral describes it as "12S ribosomal RNA". Lineage: Eukaryota; Metazoa; Arthropoda; Insecta; Diptera; Keroplatidae. The record is from RNAcentral.